This 600-nucleotide ribosomal RNA is filed under the name Roseibium aggregatum. RNAcentral describes it as "bacterial SSU rRNA". It matches the Rfam family "Bacterial small subunit ribosomal RNA", at positions 36 to 686 of the family's 1533-position model. Lineage: Bacteria; Pseudomonadati; Pseudomonadota; Alphaproteobacteria; Hyphomicrobiales; Stappiaceae. The record is from RNAcentral.
CUGAGGCUGCUUACACAUGCAGUCGAACGAACUCUUCGGAGUUAGUGGCAGACGGGUGAGUAACGCGUGGGAACCUACCUUUAGGUACGGAACAACAGUUGGAAACGACUGCUAAUACCGUAUGUGCCCUAUGGGGGAAAGAUUUAUCGCCUAAGGAUGGGCCCGCGUUGGAUUAGCUAGUUGGUGGGGUAAAGGCCUACCAAGGCGACGGACCAUAGCUGGUCUGAGAGGAUGAUCAGCCACACUGGGACUGAGACACGGCCCAGACUCCUACGGGAGGCAGCAGUGGGGAAUAUUGGACAAUGGGCGCAAGCCUGAUCCAGCCAUGCCGCGUGAGUGAUGAAGGCCCUAGGGUUGUAAAGCUCUUUCAGCGAGGAGGAUAAUGACGUUACUCGCAGAAGAAGCCCCGGCUAACUUCGUGCCAGCAGCCGCGGUAAUACGAAGGGGGCUAGCGUUGUUCGGAAUCACUGGGCGUAAAGCGCACGUAGGCGGACUUUUAAGUCAGGGGUGAAAUCCCGGGGCUCAACCCCGGAACUGCCUUUGAUACUGGAAGUCUUGAGUCCGAGAGAGGUGAGUGGAACUCCGAGUGUAGAGGUGAAA